Non-coding RNA from Benincasa hispida (wax gourd), 2208 nucleotides. NCBI's taxonomy places the organism in Eukaryota, Viridiplantae, Streptophyta, Magnoliopsida, Cucurbitales, Cucurbitaceae. The record is from RefSeq and is a predicted model, not a curated record.
CUCAUAAUCCGUGACAAUAAGGUAUGUGUUUAAUCAGUAAGUAGCACAAAUUGAAAGCUUGCUUAUGUGAAUUAAGAGUCUAGCUUACUACUAAAGCAUGAUUGGUUUAAACCAAAGAGUGUAUUAUUGGUUAUAUAGAUUUUAUAUAAUUACAGAUUUUGUAUAUAUAUAAACAUCUAAAAUAAUUUUAAUUACUAAAUAAAAUAAAAAAUGCAAGACAAAAAAAUGAAGAGGGCAUCAUAAAAUUGAUUAGAAAUAUAUAAGGGUCUUUUGGUAAUCAUUCAAAUUUUAUUCUCAUUACAUAGAAACAUAAACACUAUCAAUGAGUUUCUGAUUGCGAUUUAACACAAUUUCAUUACACGGUGGUAAACACAAUGAAAGGUAAUUUUAUUAUAAUUGUAACCCAUUUCAUUUAUAAUGUAAUCUAAUUACGAUUGCACCCUAAGUUACGAGUGGGUAGGUAAACAAGCUCUUAAUUAGAUUUGAGUUAAAUUUGAUAAACAAUCAAGAUAAAAGUAUAUAAUUUAAAUUUUGCAUUAAAAAAUUUAAAGACCCUAGAAAGAUGUUUUUUUCAAGGUCUUCAAGUUAGAGAGGGAAAAUUGUUAGGUGGAGAAAUUGAAUGGAAACACAAGUAGAAUUGAAAAUGAAAAUGACCUAUUUGAAAAAUUGGGUUAAAAAUUGAGUGGACUGAAAAUGACCUAUAUGACCUAUUUGCCAUGUCCCGCCAUUGUCAAUUUCAUUCCAUCUAUUCAAUUUUUGAAACGGUCUUCAAGACUUAUUAAGGGUUGACUUAAUUGGUAGAAAAACCUAACUGAAGUGUUAAAGUUGGUAUCCUCUUGAUCUAUCUUUAUGGAUGAGUGGGGUUCUUCGAGAUCAUUUAGAUGCAGAUUUGAAGUUUGUUUCCAAAUUUCAGAAGGUGUAAGUUCAUGAAGCUAUGACAAUAUAUUUUGGGCUCGAGAUUUUAUCAUCAAUCCAUGUUUUGAAGUCUCUUUCUUUAUUGAGGAGUUGGAUUUUUAGGCCGUUGUUGAAACUUUAAUAUUGAAGAAGAGUUGGAGAUAUACUUAUUUCAAGUUUGUGGAUGAGGCUAAUUACAAGGUUCAAGUAGCAAUUCGGAGGAGCAUAAAAAUACUUAAAAGGAAUCUGCACUCGCAAAUGAGUUAGACCAUCAUGUAAUGAGAAUGAGAUGCAGCUCAUGCUUGGAGUAAUUGAAGCCUUAGGAGUUAAUCCUUGAAUUCGGGAGGUGGCAGGAAGAUUAAAAGGAAGAGAAACUUCGAAAGCUUGGUUUAUACAAGUAAAUUUAGUGAAAUCGGUGCCAUUUGAAAUCUUGAAGAAUCUAGUUUUCGAGGUUGUCUUACCAGAGAAAGAUUGCAGAAGAAGAAGAACAAAAAGUGAGGAAUUUGCAGAAGAGGCAGAAUCGCGGAUUUAUCAGGACCCGAGGUAAAUAUUGGAAGCUCCAGGCCAAACUAUAAGGAAACUUUGGCUGAAAUUUUAAGAAAAGAAAGUUAACUCAGUUUUAAACAUGUUUGUAGAAGGAAUUUUCUACAAAAGAGGGUUGGAUUUUGAGUUAUGAAUUUUUGAAGUUGUAACAGAGAAGCUGUGCAUAAGCAGAUAGCUGCUUGGGAAGCAAACAGCUCAUAUGGAGAAUGAAGAUCUUGCUAAUGAAGGAAAUCUCGCUAAUUUUGUGAUGAGGAUCUCGCUCUAGAAGGAAAUCUCACUAGAAAUUGGGCUGAAUCUCACUGGAAAGGUGAGUAUCGCUAGGAUUAAAGGAUCUCGCUCAUGAGGAGGAUCUCACUCAUAAGGAUUGUUCGUUGCUAUUGUGAUUCGCUCUAGGAUUGUUUUGUAUAAAAUAAAUUAGAAGAAUAAGUUCUAAGUAUAAGUGAUGCGUUUAUGCUUUGAUGCGUUUAAGUAAUUGUAACGCAUUGGGGCAUCAGAUAUAUGCAACAGAAUGCACACAACUCCUUUUAAUGACGUUCAAGUUUUCCUAAACCAGACCUAAGUAUAAAUCUAAUUUAGGUUCCUGGUAAGUCCAGGAUCGAACUCAGGGAUUCAUUUAACCAAACGCAGACCUUGCGUUGUAUCUACUGUAGGGGUUUUCCUAAAUAAAUGUGAGAAAUGUGUUAUUUACACUAAAUUGCUGUGCCUAUGCAAGAGAUGCAAAAGAGUUGAGUAGUUAGUGAUGGAUCAUGUGAGAAUGGAGUUUAAUGUAAG